RNAcentral lists this ribosomal RNA (497 nucleotides) under uncultured bacterium. RNAcentral's name for it is "partial 16S ribosomal RNA". It matches the Rfam family "Bacterial small subunit ribosomal RNA", at positions 28 to 507 of the family's 1533-position model. The record is from RNAcentral.
GAUGAACGCUGGCGGCGUGCCUAAUACAUGCAAGUCGAGCGAACAGACGAGGAGCUUGCUCCUCUGACGUUAGCGGCGGACGGGUGAGUAACACGUGGAUAACCUACCUAUAAGACUGGGAUAACUUCGGGAAACCGGAGCUAAUACCGGAUAAUAUAUUGAACCGCAUGGUUCAAUAGUGAAAGACGGUUUUGCUGUCACUUAUAGAUGGAUCCGCGCCGGAUUAGCUAGUUGGUAAGGUAACGGCUUACCAAGGGAACGAUGCGUAGCCGACCUGGGAGGGGGAUCGGCCACACUGGAACUGGGCCACGGUCCAUACUCCUACGGGAGGCAGCAGUAGGGAAUCUUCCGCAGUGGGCGGAAGCCUGACGGAGCAACGCCGCGUGAGUGAUGAAGGUCUUCGGAUCGUAAAACUCUGUUAUUAGGGAAGAACAAAUUUGUGAGUAACUAUGCACGUCUUGACGGUACCUGAACAGGAAGCCCCGGCUAACUACGUG